GACGAACGCUGGCGGCGUGCUUAACACAUGCAAGUCGAACGGAAAGGCCCUGCUUUUGUGGGGUGCUCGAAUGGCGAACGGGUGAGUAACACGUGAGUAACCUGCCCUUGACUUUGGGAUAACUUCAGGAAACUGGGGCUAAUACCGGAUAGGAGCUCCUGCUGCAUGGUGGGGGUUGGAAAGUUUAGGCGGUUGGGGAUGGACUCGCGGCUUAUCAGGUUGUUGGUGGGGUAGUGGCUUACCAAGGCUUUGACGGGUAGCCGGCCUGCGAGGGUGACCGGCCACGUUGGGACUGAGAUGCGACACGGCCUCCUACGGGAGGCAGCAGUGGGGAAUAUUGCACAAUGGGCUGAAGCCUAAUGCAGCAACGCCGCGUGCGGGAUGACGGCCUUCGGGUUGUAAACCGCUUUCGCCUGUGACGAAGCGUGAGUGACGGUAAUGGGUAAAGAAGCACCGGCUAACUACGUG
Molecule: ribosomal RNA, 468 nt
Filed under: uncultured bacterium
Lineage: Bacteria
Description: partial 16S ribosomal RNA
Rfam family: Bacterial small subunit ribosomal RNA
Source: RNAcentral